This is a non-coding RNA of Caenorhabditis elegans, 128 nucleotides long. The record is from Ensembl. Lineage: Eukaryota; Metazoa; Nematoda; Chromadorea; Rhabditida; Rhabditidae.
GAUUCGAGAACAUGCGCGCGCAUUGCGAUGUGACCGACCGGUUCGAUGUUUCCUAACACUGAGUCUUUCGCUCUCUUAUAGGUUCUCGCUCUUUUUGCCAUUGCGCACAAAUCGAUUCUUCAUUUUUA